RNAcentral lists this ribosomal RNA (433 nucleotides) under uncultured bacterium. Its description in RNAcentral is "partial 16S ribosomal RNA". It matches the Rfam family "Bacterial small subunit ribosomal RNA", at positions 29 to 507 of the family's 1533-position model. The record is from RNAcentral.
AGCGAACGCUGGCGGCAGGCCUAACACAUGCAAGUCGAACGAACUCUUCGGAGUUAGUGGCGGACGGGUGAGUAACACGUGGGAACGUGCCUUUUGGCUCGGAAUAACUCAGGGAAACUUGUGCUAAUACCGAAUGUGCCCUUCGGGGGGAAGAUUUAUCGCCAUUAGAGCGGCCCGCGUCUGAUUAGCUAGUUGGUGAGGUAACGGCUCACCAAGGCGACGAUCAGUAGCUGGUCUGAGAGGAUGACCAGCCACACUGGGACUGAGACACGGCCCAGACUCCUACGGGAGGCAGCAGUGGGGAAUCUUGCGCAAUGGGCGAAAGCCUGACGCAGCCAUGCCGCGUGAAUGAUGAAGGUCUUAGGAUUGUAAAAUUCUUUCACCGGGGACGAUAAUGACGGUACCCGGAGAAGAAGCCCCGGCUAACUUCGUG